AAGAUGCAGGGUUUCGUGCAUGCUGAGUCAAAGGGCGUCUCAACGUGUACAAAUGACAAUUGUCUCACAAACAUCUAUUCAUCUUCUCAUUGUUUUUAACCCUGUCAUCAUCAUCAUUAUCAUCAUCCUCUCCUCCGGCUCUGCCCACUGCACAGCUGUUGCCCUCCGUGCUACCAUCCCAACGAAACAAGAAAUGGACGCUCAUAUAUAUAAUGAGACGAUGAAAAGAUGCUGCCUUCGAGGGGUAAAGAGGAGAAAUGACUAGAGGGAGAGCUUUUGUCCUUGUCCUAGUAGCACAUGUCUUUGUCUCUCAAUGACUCCAUCCACUGUUCUUCUUUUACUACUCCUCUAGCCUUUUCUCCAGAGAUUUGAAGACCAUGAAGCAUGAAGACAUAUGCCCUUGAAGCAGGGGAGGGACACAAUCAUUGACGCAGGAAGGAGGUCGCCCCUUUGACUCCCGUUCUGGUUGGCUGGACUCGCCACUUGCUGUGCCGGACUGCUGGCAGACAACAACAGCAAUGACCCCAUAACAGAAGAGUCAACAGCCACUCGAACACGCCAGGAGGUAGUCCAUCCCUGUGGCAAUCUGGACAGCCCAGUUCACCAGGACCCUCGGGGACACCUUUUUUCCAGCCAAGGCACGAUUCAGAGCCCCCCCUCUGGCGUACUCCAUGACCAAGCACAGGUUGGGUUCCCGUAAGCAGACCCCACGUAGCGCAAUGAUGUUAGGGUGCCGCAACAUCCAGAAAAGUCUGGCCUCCUGGCGUACGCUCUCUGCUGUCACACUGAUAUCCUCAUCGGGAUCCUGCCUUGCAGCCUUGACUGCGACUUCUUCUUCCUGCCACAUUCCUUUAUACACCUUCCCAAAUCCACCAGCUCCGAUAACCUCCUCCAGGAGCAGUUCAGAGAAGUCUAUCUCCAACGGGCAUUCACCCACGCCCACCCCACCAGCUACCAGUCCAUCUACAGUAAGUUGCUGGUAGUUGGGGGCGUCCCCCUUUGUCACAUAGUUGCUGGGAAAUAUCCCCACCUUGUCCUGGAUCUUGCCUGUCCACCAACCCUCAUCCCCGGACACUUUAGAGUCUUUAGAUAGAACUUCAAGGAGGUCCCCACGGUGCAAGGUUAGCUCCUCAUCUGCUGUGGCCUCAUAAUCAAACACAGCCGUCCAGUAGGGGUUCGGCACCCCACACAGGUGACCAGGGUGGGUGUCUGGGGAGCCAGACGAGUUCCAGCUACUGCCAUUCUCCACCUGCAUAACCGGAGCGGCGCACAAUGAUGGUGGCGGAGACAUUGAGGAUGCCGUGGAGGGAAUAAGGCAAGGAGGUGGCGGGGAGCAGCAGCCCCCACAGCUGGUGCAGGGCAGGGGGGUCGCCGAGGUACUCACUCUGCCGAACGGAUUCAUGGGGGCCGGACUUGUUGUUGGAUACUGGUAGCCUGCCCUCUUGUCAAGUCAGCUUCAAUAUACACACUGGGCCCAUGGACUGAGGCGAGGUAUCCUCGACCACCAGUAAGGGGGACCGGGGUUCAGUGUAUCAAAGAACUGGGGGUACCCAGCCCCCAUUUCUGCAUGUUGUUGAUGAAAUAGUCCCAAAUGUUAGCUCCACUUGCACUGGUAGUAACAUGUAUUCCGAAAAAGUAUGCUCAUUCAGGGACAAUGAUGACGCUGCACAUCCACCCACUGUUUGUAUCUAUUUCUAAGAACAGCCGGUGUCUUGUUUCUUAAGGCAUAAUUCAUAUCACAAAUCAUCAAACACUGGCUCAUAACUUCCAAAGUGUCUGUGUAGAUUUCACAAAAAAACAAUAAUGGAUCCUGCUGUCCAUGCAAAACUCUUUCCCGGAUGAAUUUCCCAUAAAGGCUCCAACACUCAAGUGGCAAUAAUGCAAAGGGUCUGUCAUUAGAUUAGGGGAAUAUGCUUAGAUUACUGAUAAAAAUGCUGAGUGAAAUCCUCCGAGGGGUCCUCAUUAUCCAGGGUCGAUGCUCCUCCCCCGUCAGCCAUAUCUAUGAAUAUAGGCCUUUCUCUCUAAAGUGGGAAAUAACAUUGGAUAUAUGAAUGGAUGGAUGGAUGGGUGUGCUCUACAUCCCGACACAAGCGAAAUCCUGCAUGCAUCCACGGUGCUCAAAGAACCCCCACUAGAUGGUCCCUCAUUUUCAGUCCACAGCUGUAGUGGACACAACAUUGAUGACGGUGGCAGGACUGGGUGGGCUUUUUACUGUUAUCCAUCAGUGAAGUAGUAGGAAGAGGGAGUAUUUAAAUAUACAGAUACACACUAGAUGAAAAAUAACAUGCAUCAUCCAUAAAAGCGAAGGAAAUCUAAAUAUAAAUAAUAUUUCAGUACAGAUAGGUGUAAUUUAGGCCACAUCCAAAGGGCUGCACCAUAAUAAUAAUAUUUACUGUAACCCAACCUGCACAGUGAGCAUAGCAACAUCCAUCGACAUGUCAUGGGCGUGAGCUUGCAUCCGAUAGACCAUCACCCGCAGACGUCCAAAAAAAAAAAAAAAGUCAAAUUUAAGCAAGCUUUUAUCCUCAACGACGUGACACAUCGAGCUGUCAAACACACACACGCAUGUCAAACACAUACACACACCAUAGGCUCAGGCGGUCAGUGUCCGAACAAAUACACCCGGCUGACGUGCACCUCGCUCGGCGAACAAGUGUCCGGCCUGCCGGUGAUCCGCGAACCGAGAGGAAAACAGUCGGAGGCACAAAGGCAAGCCCGGUUUUGCUUGUAUAUCCCAUCGAGGGAGUGCACAUUCGAGCACACACCGCAGUGGAGGACGCCUCUGUCGUCUGCUGGAACGAGACACAACUGAGCCGCUGCUGGUGGUGGUGGUAGUGUUUUUGUUGAAUUCUGGGUAAUGUAGUCUUUAAAAGCCUGGUAUUGCCCUACAUCAGUGUGGCAGCUAAUAAAUCAUUAACAAUCAAAAAUA
Non-coding RNA from Doryrhamphus excisus (bluestripe pipefish), 2929 nucleotides. Lineage: Eukaryota; Metazoa; Chordata; Actinopteri; Syngnathiformes; Syngnathidae. The record is from RefSeq and is a predicted model, not a curated record.